UAAAACUCCUUACCUAUCAUGUCCUUCCCUGUUCAAAAUUUUCUUACAACGUGUUUUGACCUGCCUUAUCUUACCAUGCCCCGUUUAAGUAUUGCCAUGCCCUAUUGCCAUCCCAAUACAUGAGGUUUAACAAAUAUACCCAAAAUUUAACAAACAAAAAUACCGAAGCCUUCUCUUUAAUUUCUCUCUAAGAUGAAUUAGUACCAAAUAAAGAGGGAGUGGAGAUGCGUUUAUUUGUAUUUUAUGAGCUUCCAAAAUGAGUUCUAUGCCACUGGAAAAAUAGCAAGUUAAGAAGAUUUUUUUUGGCAAAAACCAUGAUCUGAUUCACUGCAUUUUGAUUUAUACACUCUCUCAACCAUCAUAUUGGGCUGGUGCCUCUUUUGAUUUGUACUAGCUAUUAUUUUGGGCAAAAACCUCAAGAGCAGGCAGAUCGAAUUGAGUCCUGACACCCACAACCACCAAUUACAUGUACACAAACUCAUACAGUAAUCAAGAUUCUCUUCUUUAAUUAAUCUAGAAAAUGGAGAAAUCAAAGAGCUUGCAAUCAAAUGCACACACCAUAUAUAAAUAGUCAUAUCUUAAAACGUGAAGAAUUUGAAAGUGUACUACAAUAUAUAAUAGGAUGAUUAUCCCAAGGCACAAGCAUCAAAAGUCCGAUUAAGGGCUAACGAUCAAGUGAAUGGCAGCCCAUUUUAAUUCUAUAGAGCCAACUUAACUUUUAUUUCCUAAUAUCCCAAAAUUCUAAAUCUGAGAAGCUAGAAUAAGCGUACUCGUAUAAACUUUAAGAAACAGUUAACAUAUGAAUACUUACCUGCAAGCAUAAGGUCAAAUAUUGGAGAGAAAUCACGAACAGGAAACCCUACGUUCUCGGAUGAAAGACGAAAGUGAGAGUAAAGUAGCUAUUCGUUUGUGUAAAAAUAGUCAUGUAUAAUUUUCUUAUUUAUUGUCCCGCUGGUUUGAGAUCAAAUACCACAUAUAAGCAGUUGUCCCUUUGUUUUUAACCUUAUUUAACCUGAUGAAAUCAAUGUUCAAGAACCGAUUCAGAAGAGCAAAUAGUAAUGAAUAAAUGAAUUUAAC
This 1077-nucleotide long non-coding RNA is filed under the name Nicotiana tabacum (common tobacco). RNAcentral's name for it is "long non-coding RNA (NTAB_LNC010754)". The record is from RNAcentral. Lineage: Eukaryota; Viridiplantae; Streptophyta; Magnoliopsida; Solanales; Solanaceae.